GCUAUUUUCCCGACUUCGAAAUUCUUCACAGCUGGGAGUCCCAAUACCGGGUGCACAAAGCUUCCUAGAACACACCGGCCGGCCUUCACCGGAGGGAGUCAACGGUUCUGUCUCAGGCCGGUGAGGGAAGGACGGCGCGCCCAGGCAGGUUUUCGGGGCGCCGCUCCAGAAGCGGGGCAGGCGAGGCCUCCUUUUUCUCGAAGCCGCUUCCCGGCACUACACGGCCCCCUCACCACAGGCAGAGCGCGGGAUAGGCUCAGGGCAGGAGACUGACGUGGCGGGACGCUGGAUUCCCAUCCCUCCCCCGGCCCCCAGGCCCCACGUGGGCCCCCGCGCGCGCAGCCACCCACGCCCCGCGCGCCCUCCAGCCGCGCGCACCGCCCGCCCGCGGCAUGCGCACAGGCCGCAGCCCUGCCCCCCUUCCCCCCUCCCCCGGCCCGCGCCCUUGCGCGGAAUCGGCAGGAUUCCCCAUCACUGGCCGACGGCGUUCAGGCCCACUGACCCUCUGGCCGCCUCGUCCGCCCAGCCUCCGCGACACGCACCUCACCGCCUACCUCCCGAAAGCGUCGCCCGCUCUGGCCUCGCACCGGAAACCCUGGGUAACCGCUGCUGGCCGAGCCGCCUGCUCCUGCCGCAGCCAAUCAAUAGCCGACGCUCUCGCGGGGCUUGCUGGGAAAGAUGAAGCGAAGGCGGCCUCUGAGGCGGGACAGUCCUACCUAGAAGAUGUUGCUACUGGUUAUGAGUACUUCCUAUGGUUCAGUGCACUGAGCCUCGCACCUUUCCCCAGCCUGCCAGGGAGGCCUCCAGCCAGCCCAUCCUCCCUACGGCUCCCUGCCUUCAACUGAAAAUCCACAAUCUGAGCUCACAGAUGAAUCUACUGAAGAAUCCAAGACGAUGGAUACCAAGCUGAGUGAGUCUCAAGGAGAAGAGGAGGGAAGUAGUUAGGCGUUCAUCUCCUUCCCUUUUAGUUUGCUAGAAACAAGUAGCUCUAGGGUGUAGAGGGAAACAGGUAGACAUGAGAACAUGGAAAUCCAGUUCAUUCUGCCGUCUAGUGUGACUUGAGAGAAAUAGAAAAGUGUGCCUGAGAGCCUUCUUUCACUCUUCCUUGACCAAGUACAGUAGCAGCUAUAAUCUGUGAAGUUCAGCUCCAAAAAACAGGGCUCCUAGAAAGUGGCUUCCAGGGCAAAGAGUAGAAGAAGUAGAUCUAAGGGUCCUAGGUAAGGGGGGGGAAGAGCAAGCGUCCCCGAAAGCUGAGGUCAUCAAUGCCUGCUCCUCAGAGGGGUCAUUUGUCCGCACUGCCCCAAGUAACCAGGCUGGCCAGCUACAAGUGGAAUCCAUGCAGCUCUACCAGAUGGCGGCAGCCAAGGCCAGGCAGUCACCUGGGGACAGCUCAGAAUUGAAGGCAGACUUGUAAGACCAGAGACUUGGUUAGUACUACAGAAGAUGUUGGGGGUGGGAUAACCAGAGGGGCUGGCAAUAAAGAAUAGGCUGGUACUGUCCCAACAGUCUUUGAACACUUCAGCUAAGAGAAAGGCUCCUUUUCCCCUAAUCCACACCUAGAUACCUCCACCUCCAGCAGGGAUCUUACAAUGGAUACACCAGCUAUGUGCCAGCACAUGAAGAUUCCAAAAACAUGUCUUUUCAGGCUAUUCCAUACAAUAGGCUGCGGAGCCUACAUCACCCCUACAACAUCCAUUCAGAGAUCUACUGGAAAGCAGCCUUUGACCUCACUGAGGCCAGGGUCUGAAGUCUAGAUGGGGGCUGCCCAUUAAGAGUGGCUGUCAAGGCUGGGCUACAGAAAUAAUGUUUUGCUUUCCAAGAGGACCAAAGGAGAGGAGGAGACACUGAAGAUGAUGUUACUGCCCCUGUGGGCUGGAAGAACCUCACCUGCUGGCUGAAAGAGGGGUAGAAGGAAAUAACGGGAAAAUAUGGUCUGAGGAAGACGCCAAAGGAAAGCUCCUAGAGGCCACCUUAUCUGAUGAGAAAUCUGUCCUCAUGUUGCACCCUGGGAGACUUCAGCCUUUCAAGUCCUUGGAGAAAACUGGCUCCCAGCAGCAGCCAGACGAUCAAAAAAGAGUCUUCCAUCUGGUAUAGGCCCCAGAUCUGAAGUGCAAGAUUUUAGAGGAGUAGUUGGGAAAAGCAGGGUGUGUAUGUCUCUCAAUAAAAAUCUGGCCCCAAUGACAGGGACUCAACUAUUGCUUGAGAUGUACAAAAUAGGUCCUACUAAAGUGCUUUGCCCUUUGGAUAAGGACAGGGGGCGGGUGGGGGGAGCAGGUGGCUUUUCUAACUGUAGGGGAAAAGUUUUGUAAUGGAGUCAGUGGGCCAAGUGACAGAGGUCCAGCCCCUUGCCUCCUUGUGGGCUGGUAGUUGUCAUUCAUUCCUAAGCUGAAGAAUAGCAUCUGACAUACAAGGUCAGGGUACUAAGGUCUGACAUACUAAGGUGGCACAGCACUGGUGUGACUUUUUGGUGAUAACUGCAAGCCCCGCACCACCUUCUUCAGCAAAUGGUUCUGGAGUUGGAUCUCAACACUAGGAGAGGGCAAAAUCAAGACCAAUGGCAGACAGUGAGCACCUGAACUUUAGAUCUGUAAGCAGAGGGGCAGGGAUUUCACCUGAGCCAGAAGGGGUGUGCAGGAAUGGGAGUAAGUGGCACUGUCUCUGGGGAAGGGCAACUACAGCUCGGCACAGGCACGUGACUGACCACAGUGGAGAAGCAGGGGCAAGGCAAACUGUGCCCACAGCUCCACAGUUGGUCUACACUUAGCCAGCAACUUUCUCCACUCCUCUCCCCAACAAUUGGGCUUUACUGUCAUGUAAUCCACCGAAGCGAAGGCAAGCCACUGAGGCAUCGCACUAGCUUUACUCAAAGAGAAAAGGCAUUAGGAUUAUAACUGUCACACGGAAGGGAAAAACCCAAACCAGGUCCAAGGAUCCCAAACAGGAAAGAUACCAGUAAGUCUCACAAAAGUCCCGAGGCUGCUAAGUUUCUAUGAUCACUGGAGAGGCAGGCAAGUGUGAUACCUUAUGUGGCCAGGGCUUUGAGACUGAAUCUGAGAAGGUAGAAUGCUUUUUGGGUUUCCUGAUAUAAGCAGGAUGCUUAGCAGUAAGGACUAGAAUGGUAGACUUCUCCAGGCCCUGGGGCCAUCCUUGCUCCCUUCGGGUACUGGGAUAAUCAGACCGGGCUGACCUGCUAAAUAAAGGUUCCAGAGCUAAGGGUUGGUCCCAGGUGGUGGCCCAGAACCUAAGUAGAGAGGAAAAGGACCAAGCUCAGGCUCCCUGAGCGAGGCAGCUUCCCCCUCUCUUUUUGGUCUUCCUCACAGUAUCCUACUUACAGAAAUUACAGACAGUUCUUCCUCUUGAGACCAAUUAAGAUUGACCUACCUAAUAUAUAGAAUAUAAAAAAAUACAGAACUUUUUGACAUUCUCUCCUUUGGAAGUAAAAUAUACAUGAUCCAACUAUGGAAGAGGAAGAGGAAGAAGAAAGGCCGAAGGCAGGGAUCCCUGGCUAUCCCAAUACAUGACACUCUCGCUCCACCUCCUCUGCAACUUAUGGGUCACCAGAGCAAGGGCUUUCUCCUCAGGAGAGAGGAGGACCAUCGCCCUGUCUCGUGCUUCGGAGAAAAUACAGCUACCUCAGAGGUUCGUUCAACUCUGAGGGAAUUUUCAAGUAAACAAAUGAAGUUGGGUCGCACCAUUGGAAGGUGGGUAGGAAACAUGGGAUCAGUAGCGACACAUGAGAAGCCCCAUCUGAAGGCCUGUGCUCCUCCCCUCCACUCCCACUGGUGUACUUGCCCCUGGAGGGAAGGAGAUCUCCCAAACUAAAGAGGUCUGGGAAGGGGUUAGAGGGAGGAAGGAGCCUUUGUCUCAUGGUGACCUCCCUCUCAGCCUCUAGUCCCAGACCAUGCUGGUAGCUGGGAUUCCUAAAACCAGGAACUCAUGGCUCUUGGAAAGAGCCGUCUUAAUACAAGAAAAAUGUGCAAAAGAAAAAAAAAUUAAAUAACUCAAUCCAAGCAUACAAGAUUAAUAUUCUGUCAGAGCAAGAACACUUUGUUUUGAAUUUCUCCCCGCCCCUCCCACCCCCCACCUCUGGAAUAUUCCAUCUGCUCAAGUACCCAAGAUAAGAGUUACACAGAUUAGGGCAGAGAACUGGGAAGGAUGAAGGAAGAUAAAAGGGNAAGGAAGAAGGAAAAAAAAAGGGAAGGAAGUCCCCCAAAAAAAAAAAAAAAAAAAAAAAAAAUUAAAAAGGUGCAAAAUUGAUUACCUCAGUCCUCCUUUGUCUACCCCUGGGCUCCUGGGUUAAAGACAUAUGUGCAGCCAAAAUAUAGUGUAAGGAAGAAAAACCCAACACGUCCCCUUCUUGUCACAAAACCCAAAUGUGAGCCUCAGAUGGUUCUGUCUGUCCAGAGGGUGCUCCCUCCAGGGAAGGGGGCGGAGCAGGUCAAAAGCACAGUUUCCAGGGCAGCAAGAGGUGCGUGGUGGCUGACGAUGGGGGGGCUGGUUUCCCGUCCACCAGAGGGCUGCUUUUCCGCUGGUUGGUGGUGCUUCCCAUCCCCU
Molecule: long non-coding RNA, 4554 nt
Filed under: Ailuropoda melanoleuca (giant panda)
Lineage: Eukaryota; Metazoa; Chordata; Mammalia; Carnivora; Ursidae
Description: lncRNA (ENSAMEG00000026050.1)
Source: RNAcentral